CCCGGGCCAUGCCAGCCACGGCCAUGGAGCUCUACAGCCUGCCGCUGGUCCUGCUGUUGUGCUUGCUGGCCGGCUCGUCGACGACCACGCUGCCCCGCAUUGACAGGGUGCGCCAGCAAGUUGACGGGGCGAACCGGCGAGUCCCAUCCGUCGGGCUCCGGCGAGUCCCAUCCGUCGGGCUCGUCAUGUCGUACGUUGGCGCUCCAGGCCUCCAGCUACUUCAGGCCCUAUAGCAUUUCGUUAACCUCUACGAGACUAGCACUGGCUGCUGAGAUGCUUUGUAGUUGCGACUACCCUUGAUUAAUCAACAUACAGGGUUUAUUAGUUCCUUGUAAUUAAUGUUGCGAAGUUGGAAAGAUAACAAACCGAUCACUGGAGAUGCAUCUCCUCGUGUAGCAGGAUUCCCUCCCAACACCAACAAACAUUGAGGUAGGCCUAAUAUGCAUGUAAAUAUAUGAUUAUUUCCUACCAAAAUAGUGAUGUGUAGUAUUUAGUUGAUCUAAUGGCCAAUAUGGAUCGGUCAAAUUAUUUAGCAAUACGGCAUAUUGGUAAUUUCCUAUUACAGAUAGAUUUAUUCGUUGUUAGUUUUAAUCGCAAUUAACGAUCUAAUUAAAUUAUUCCAUCACAUCUUACGCGGCACCGUUCGUCCGCUACUCACAACGUGACGCCGACGCAAGAACGCCCGCCACCUUCUUUGAUUUUCCUUUCAAAAGGGGCAACGGAGGGUUAGAUGGCAAGCAAGGCGGUGCACGCGUGCGACGGCCACAGACGGCGAACGGCACGGUGGACACCUCGGUGCACUCAGUGAGCCUCGGCGCAAGGAAGUGCGUCUGUGACCCACGUCGCCACUGCUCCCUGCUAGGGCUGCCGGAGUGCCCGGGCGGGUGAGGCGUCGCGGCAACAACGGUCCUCGUGCACCCGUGAAAAAAAAGGUCCUCGUGGAGGAAGGCACAUUGUAUCGCAUGCCCAUCGCCCUCGUGGUCCUCGUGGAGCUUUGUAAUUAAUCACACAGUGGGUUGAAGUAAUAAUACAAUACACCGGGGACGAUACGUGCCUGUAGCCAUCAACAGGCGUCUCC
Long non-coding RNA from Triticum aestivum (bread wheat), 1078 nucleotides. RefSeq lists it as uncharacterized. NCBI's taxonomy places the organism in Eukaryota, Viridiplantae, Streptophyta, Magnoliopsida, Poales, Poaceae. The transcript is spliced from 2 exons. The record is from RefSeq and is a predicted model, not a curated record.